AUGCCGGAGUGCUUGCACUUUGGCAGACUGAGUGGCGGACGGGUGAGUAACGCGUGGGUAACCUGCCUUAUACAGGGGGAUAACAGUUGGAAACGACUGCUAAUACCGCAUAAGCCCACGGUACCGCAUGAUACUGAGGGAAAAGGAUUUAUUCGCUUUAGGAUGGACUCGCGUCCAAUUAGCUAGUUGGUGAGGUAACGGCUCACCAAGUCGACGAUCGGUAGCCGGACUGAGAGGUUGAACGGCCACAUUGGGACUGAGACACGGCCCAGACUCC
RNAcentral lists this ribosomal RNA (277 nucleotides) under uncultured Subdoligranulum sp. RNAcentral's name for it is "partial 16S ribosomal RNA". It matches the Rfam family "Bacterial small subunit ribosomal RNA", at positions 68 to 339 of the family's 1533-position model. The record is from RNAcentral. Lineage: Bacteria; Bacillati; Bacillota; Clostridia; Eubacteriales; Oscillospiraceae.